UGAUGGGUUGUGGGGAACCGCCUACAGGAAGGGACUGCUGGAGGCAGAACAGCCCUCAACCUGAAAGGACCCGUGCCCAAACCGAAGGGCAGGCAUCUCCUUCUCCCCCUCCUCGCCCUUCCCUUAUGCUCACAAACCCCAGCUCCCUGCUACUUUUUAUAACGCUUUAUUCGAGAAUCCUGCUACACAUCCAGAAAACAAUCCCACCCUACGGAAUUCAUUUCUGCACUCCAAAUGCUGGGCGCGAGACGGGCUCAGAUACCCAGUGUUGGUGAGGACAAGAAGGGUUACAGCUACAUGUGACCAGUGGCUGCCGUAUCAGACCACUUCCAAAUGGAAACAAGUCCCAGAAGACCAGGAAGUCACCCCAGGUGGGCAGCGAGCAGAAAGAGAAGAGACGUCUGGUCCGGAGUGCAUUGUGCUGGGAAGACUUAAGUCACGUUCAGGCAACUUUUGUCUCAGUUAUUUGAAUACAUUUUGUGUCCUGGUUGGCAUGAAAAUGUAUUCUUACUGGGAGUCACGGUGAGGAAUGGGCGAGGCUCGAGGCUAUAGUGACCAGAGUCUCCUGUCUCCUUGGUGGAGGAGGGAAAGAGGCUGAGAGGGACCAGGGGACCCACCCACGGUCACACAGCCAGAGGAGCUGUUCUGGAGUCCAGCUUCCCAGGCUCUGAGUUCUGAGCCUGCAUUUCAUGGCUUCUUCCCUGACCUUGACCUCUAUCACCAUUGUUAUGACCCCCCCCCCCCAACACACACACACACAUACAAUAAAGGACUGCCUUGUGGUCAGCCCCACCAGGGCACACCUGUCCCCGGGUCAGCCAUACCUCCUCCUCAGUCCUCAACCUCAGUUCCCAAAAAGGUCCCUUCAGUGUUUAUAAAAGAGAAAGCCCCAGAGGCCUGACCUCCCCGUGGCCCCCUCCUCCCUGGCCUGGGGUAUCAGCUGUUGACUGCAGCUGCCCUGAGGCUGAGGGGAGCCACAGGUGUGGGACCAGACCUCCCCAGGCUGCCGGCCCGCUGGCCUCCUCCGGCCCCAGCCUGCUGUUGACCUUCAGCGGGUCUUGGCAAUGCACUCAGCAAGGCCCCAGAGGAGACCCCCGAAGGGAAACACAAACCUCGAAAUGGAUUUUCUUUUUCUCCAUGAGCAAAAAAAAGUUGAAUAAGAAAUAAGUUACUAUUUUUACUGCUGGGAUCCAGUUGUUAUGGUAACUGAGGGCCUCGAGGGAGUCAGGGUUGGCCUGCCAGUGAAGGAGAUGAGGUGGGGGUUCCAGGGGCAGCGGUGGCAGCCACCGGACGAGCCUUGGACUACCGACUGUGGGAUUUCUGGCACCCCUGCCCCUGGCUCUGCGCGCCCCCCCCCCCCCCGCCGUGACGGAAGGCCACCUGUGCCCAUAUAACCCUGGCCAGUGGCCCCUGGCAACUUCUCCCUUUGGUGCAAGCCCACCAUCUCCUGCUGGCUGUGUGGUCUCGGGCUCCCCCGGCCUUGUCGCCGAGCCUGUCCUUCACUGCUCCUGGGGGGGGGGGGGGAGUGGUUAUUGUGCCCUCAUCUCCACAUGCAGCUUUCGACCCCCACCACAGUGACCACCACGGGCACCUGAGCGAUCAGCCCCACGAGCCCUGCUGGCCAAAACCCAAUUCUUCCUCUGCCGUUCCUCUUCCAGCCCCUCUCCAGAAGGCGGCCCCACACCACCCCCUGGGCCCGGUUCGCCGUGGCUGGAAGCUCUGAACGCGGCCUUCCCAGGAUCCGAGGCCGGCCUCCACCUCCACCUAGCUUUGUGCCCUGAACCAGGUGCUUCCCAUUCGAGGCUGUUUCCCCACUUGUAAAGUGGAAGUUAACAGCACCCACCCUGCAGGAUUACUGAAGGAACAAAGGCCGCCUGGGCCCGAUGUUCUUGCUGGCAAUGUGUCUCCCCAUUCAGUCCCCUCUGUAGCACUACAUGGUAGGAGGUGCCGUUCCUAAUUUGCGGACAAGGAGCCGUGUUCAGGCAGGCCAAGUCCCACAGCAAGCCACACAGCACAUCUGUCUGUGCUGAAGUGCCCUGCACUGCAUGGGCACUGAUGAAACACCUACCGUGUUCCCGGCUCAUCAGAUGCGCAGAGUGGCAAGCAGCGACUUCCAUCCCCGAUCAGUAGCUACGACAUGGGCCCCUAUAUACGCCUAGCAGCGUCUGCCUGCAAAGUCCUCGUUGUCUCUGGCAAAGCCACAAAUCUUCCCUACCAGAGUGACUUUCUGAAACGCAAGUCUGACGAAGCCCCUCUCCCUAAAACCCUUCAGUGGCUCCCACUGCUUUCAGGAUGGAGUCAGGAUAGAAAAACGACCUCACCCACCGUGCACAUGCAAUAAAUGAAUCCAAACUCCCCCCAAACAUGCAUGGCUUUCUCGUGCUCUGUGGCUACACAGGUGCCGUUCCCUCUGCCUGGAAGGCCUUUCCUCCUUAGUUUGCCUGGCAGAUCUCUAUUUAUUCUUCCAGACCCAGUUUAAAGUUCUCCUUUGUUGGACCUUUAGGGGAAAUGGCUUCUCCUCCCUUUUAUGCCACCUUUGAGCCAGUGUCAGGGCCCCACGGGAUCAUCUUGUAGGUGCCCACCAGCCAAGGACUACCAGGACCGGUGCCUGUGGUAAGGUUUAUCAACGGGCUGCAAUUAGGGGGAGGGCCCAAUGUGGGGAACUGGAGGGGUCUCCAUGAGGGGCGUUAGGAAGGACUUUCGGCAGAAUUUGUACUUGCCUUAGGUACUUAGGGAAGUUCAAGGUAGUGUCACUUUACUGAGGCCCUCCUUUUUAUUGGACACUCAGGGGGCGCCUGGGUGGCUCAGUCACUUAGGCGUCUGACUUCGGCUCAGGUCAUGAUCUCACAGUUUGUGGGUUCAAACCCC
This is a long non-coding RNA of Leopardus geoffroyi (Geoffroy's cat), 2868 nucleotides long. RefSeq lists it as uncharacterized. NCBI's taxonomy places the organism in Eukaryota, Metazoa, Chordata, Mammalia, Carnivora, Felidae. The transcript is spliced from 3 exons. The record is from RefSeq and is a predicted model, not a curated record.